GCUGCACACCUAACGUCUCCAUUGGCCAGCAUGUGGUCACAUGAUCAUACAAAGGCAAGGAAGGACCGGUAUACCCGGGUGUACCCCUGCGGCCUAGGGCAAGGAUUCCACUCUGAGGAGAGGAGGAGAAAUAGAAGUUCACCAUCCGAACGAGAGUCCAAAGUGGGAAGUGGCUGUUGCUGUGAAGGAGAUGGAGGAUUCUCUGCACAUUCCAGGAAAAGAAGACACAUUUGUGCAGCUGCAGGAGCGGUUCGGCCUGCCUGCGACAACAGGAGCUGGUGGAGGUAACACUAUGUGAUUUCCAAGGCAAGAUCAUACAAAUGCCAUGGACUUCUGCUGUGCUCUCCUGGGACGCUAGCCCAAGCCAGCUUGUGUGGAGCGACCAGAUGAAGAGGCCAUGUGUAGGAGUUCUGGCUGACGGCCAGUCUCAGCUGUUAGACCUUAUGUGAGCGAGGAAGCCUCCAGAUGAUUCCAGCCCUGGCUGCCAAGUCCCCCAGCCUUCCAGUCUUCCUGGCUGAGAAGUGGAGACUACUCGCCUCUCUUUGCCUUGUCUGAGUUCCUAACCCCCCAGAACCCAGGAAUGUACUAAAGUGAUCAUUUUCCAUCA
Molecule: long non-coding RNA, 607 nt
Organism: Canis lupus familiaris (dog)
Lineage: Eukaryota; Metazoa; Chordata; Mammalia; Carnivora; Canidae
Exons: 3
Source: RefSeq, a predicted model, not a curated record